AAUGGUAGCUAAUAGAUAUAGAGGUCCACAAUCUUUGUUGUUUUUUUUAAACUAGGGGAUGUUAAUGUAUAUUGGGAAGAAUAUACAUUAAUUAUCAAAUAAAAUAGAUAGGCU
This 114-nucleotide microRNA precursor is filed under the name Chlorocebus sabaeus (green monkey). RNAcentral describes it as "miRNA (ENSCSAG00000021588.1)". Lineage: Eukaryota; Metazoa; Chordata; Mammalia; Primates; Cercopithecidae. The record is from RNAcentral.